RNAcentral lists this transfer RNA (76 nucleotides) under Compsopogon caeruleus. Its description in RNAcentral is "tRNA-Met". It matches the Rfam family "tRNA". From Rfam's summary of the family: Transfer RNA (tRNA) molecules are approximately 80 nucleotides in length. Their secondary structure includes four short double-helical elements and three loops (D, anti-codon, and T loops). Further hydrogen bonds mediate the characteristic L-shaped molecular structure. tRNAs have two regions of fundamental functional importance: the anti-codon, which is responsible for specific mRNA codon recognition, and the 3' end, to which the tRNAs corresponding amino acid is attached (by aminoacyl-tRNA synthetases). tRNAs cope with the degeneracy of the genetic code in two manners: having more than one tRNA (with a specific anti-codon) for a particular amino acid; and 'wobble' base-pairing, i.e. permitting non-standard base-pairing at the 3rd anti-codon position. Lineage: Eukaryota; Rhodophyta; Compsopogonophyceae; Compsopogonales; Compsopogonaceae. The record is from RNAcentral.
AACGAAAUAGUUCAGUUGGUCAGAACAAUAGACUCAUAAUCUAUAAGUCAGAAGUUCAAAUCUUCUUUUCGUUACC